This 72-nucleotide transfer RNA is filed under the name Camelus bactrianus (Bactrian camel). It matches the Rfam family "tRNA". Rfam says of the family: Transfer RNA (tRNA) molecules are approximately 80 nucleotides in length. Their secondary structure includes four short double-helical elements and three loops (D, anti-codon, and T loops). The record is from Rfam by way of RNAcentral. Lineage: Eukaryota; Metazoa; Chordata; Mammalia; Artiodactyla; Camelidae. RNAcentral also lists the same sequence under 1 other name.
GAGGGUAUAGCUCAGUGGUAGAGCAUAUGCUUAGUAUGCAUGAGGUCCUGAGUUCAAUCCGCAGUACCUCCA